GUAACACGUGAGUGACCUGCCUUUUAGACUGGAACAACUUACCGAAAGGUGAGCUAAUGCCGGAUGAGUUAUAUAAGUGCAUGUUUAUAUAGGAAAAGUUGGGAGACCUGACGCUGAAAGAUGGACUCGCGUCCCAUUAGCUAGUUGGUAGGGUAAUGGCCUACCAAGGCGACGAUGGGUAGCCGGCCUGAGAGGGUGGCCGGCCACACUGGGACUGAGACACGGCCCAGACUCCUACGGAAGGCAGCAG
This 250-nucleotide ribosomal RNA is filed under the name uncultured bacterium. RNAcentral's name for it is "partial 16S ribosomal RNA". It matches the Rfam family "Bacterial small subunit ribosomal RNA", at positions 110 to 354 of the family's 1533-position model. The record is from RNAcentral.